UGCCAGCCGCCGCGGUAAUACGUAAGUUGCAAGCGUUAUCCGGAUUUAUUGGGCAUAAAGAGUGCGUAGGCGGUAUCUUAAGUCAGGUGUAAAAUCCCACAGCUCAACUGUGGUUAGCAUUUGAUACUGAGAUACUAGAGACUAGGAGAGGAAAGCGGAACUCACAGUGUAGCGGUGAAAUGCGUAGAUAUUGUGGGGAACACCAGUGGCGAGGGCGGCUUUCUGGACUAGUUCUGACGCUGAGGCACGAAAGCAUGGGGAGCGAACGGGAUUAGAUA
This 278-nucleotide ribosomal RNA is filed under the name uncultured bacterium. RNAcentral describes it as "partial 16S ribosomal RNA". It matches the Rfam family "Bacterial small subunit ribosomal RNA", at positions 506 to 784 of the family's 1533-position model. The record is from RNAcentral.